RNAcentral lists this ribosomal RNA (210 nucleotides) under uncultured Sphingomonadales bacterium. RNAcentral describes it as "partial 16S ribosomal RNA". It matches the Rfam family "Bacterial small subunit ribosomal RNA", at positions 568 to 775 of the family's 1533-position model. The record is from RNAcentral. Lineage: Bacteria; Pseudomonadati; Pseudomonadota; Alphaproteobacteria; Sphingomonadales.
CACGUAGGCGGCUAUUCAAGUCGGGGGUGAAAGCCCGGGGGCUCAACCCCCGGAACUGCCCUCGAAACUAGAUAGCUAGAAUCUUGGAGAGGCGAGUGGAAUUCCGAGUGUAGAGGUGAAAUUCGUAGAUAUUCGGAAGAACACCAGUGGCGAAGGCGACUCGCUGGACAAGUAUUGACGCUGAGGUGCGAAAGCGUGGGGAGCAAACAG